Molecule: ribosomal RNA, 144 nt
Filed under: Candidatus Woesearchaeota archaeon CG_4_10_14_0_2_um_filter_33_13
Lineage: Archaea; Nanobdellati; Candidatus Woesearchaeota
Source: RNAcentral
UCGGACGGCCAUAGGGGCGUUGUUCAUCCGUUCCCAUAUUUAAGAUCUGAAUGGAUUUUAAAGGGAAUUUCGAACACGGCAAUUAAGGGCGCUUCCGUACAUGGGUGUACUGCAUUGCGCGGGAAACCAAGUAAGCCGUCCACC